RNAcentral lists this ribosomal RNA (99 nucleotides) under Bacillus amyloliquefaciens. RNAcentral describes it as "partial 16S ribosomal RNA". It matches the Rfam family "Bacterial small subunit ribosomal RNA", at positions 1 to 95 of the family's 1533-position model. RNAcentral also lists the same sequence under 4 other names. Lineage: Bacteria; Bacillati; Bacillota; Bacilli; Caryophanales; Bacillaceae. The record is from RNAcentral.
UUUAUCGGAGAGUUUGAUCCUGGCUCAGGACGAACGCUGGCGGCGUGCCUAAUACAUGCAAGUCGAGCGGACAGAUGGGAGCUUGCUCCCUGAUGUUAG